UACGUAGGGGGCUAGCGUUGUCCGGAAUUAUUGGGCGUAAAGGGCGCGUAGGCGGCUAGAUGUGUCAAAGGUGAAAUCCCUCGGCUCAACUGAGGAACUGCCUUUGAAACUGUCUGGCUUGAGGCCGGGAGAGGGUAGCGGAAUUCCCAGUGUAGCGGUGAAAUGCGUAGAUAUUGGGAGGAACACCAGUGGCGAAGGCGGCUACCUGGACCGGUUCUGAUGCUGAGGCGCGAAAGCGUGGGUAGCAAACAGG
Molecule: ribosomal RNA, 253 nt
Filed under: uncultured bacterium
Lineage: Bacteria
Description: partial 16S ribosomal RNA
Rfam family: Bacterial small subunit ribosomal RNA
Source: RNAcentral